This 655-nucleotide unclassified non-coding RNA is filed under the name Hevea brasiliensis (rubber tree). The record is from RNAcentral. Lineage: Eukaryota; Viridiplantae; Streptophyta; Magnoliopsida; Malpighiales; Euphorbiaceae.
GGUUAAAGGAGGUAACACCGCAGAGGUUUUUCUCCCGACAUUUUACGUUGAUAUAUAUUGGUGGGGCUCUGCCAAUUUAACUUGGUUUGCUUUGAUUUUACAUGGCUAUGACAUCUGACUAGGCGUGAACAUUUCUGGCAUGCUCUAAACUGAAGGGCACCGACACACAUGCACACAUGUUGUGCACACACUCAUAAAAAGAGAAAGAAAGAGAUCUCCUUGGCCUUCUAAAGUUGAUUUUUGAAUUUCAAAAUUAUUUUGUGUUGGAAUGGCGUUCCAUAUGUUUUAUUUUAUGAUAAAGGAGUAGAUUUUCUAAGACAUUUUAUGGACCAGCACAGCAAGGGAAAACAAAUACCAGGAUUGUUUGAUAUAUAUAUAUAUAAAAAACAAACUGUGGGGAUAGAAUUUAGAGCUUUAACUCAAAUUUGGUAUAUACCAGCCUGUUAUGGUGUGGAAUUUUCAACCGUGUAUAUAAUGUCCCAUAGUAGUCUGUGUUCUGAUUUACCUUAUUUUUUUCAACAAAUUAUGAAAUUGCCUACAAUAUUCACUUAAUCUGUGCUGAAACUCAAAUUUCUUUCUCUAUCGUUGAUUGUGGACUCAUUACUCCCCCAGGCCCAAACAUUGUCAACCUCCUGCAACCUUUCAGCAUGGGAGU